RNAcentral lists this ribosomal RNA (496 nucleotides) under uncultured bacterium. RNAcentral's name for it is "partial 16S ribosomal RNA". It matches the Rfam family "Bacterial small subunit ribosomal RNA", at positions 28 to 506 of the family's 1533-position model. The record is from RNAcentral.
GAUGAACGCUGGCGGCGUGCCUAAUACAUGCAAGUCGAGCGAACAGACGAGGAGCUUGCUCCUCUGACGUUAGCGGCGGACGGGUGAGUAACACGUGGAUAACCUACCUAUAAGACUGGGAUAACUUCGGGAAACCGGAGCUAAUACCGGAUAAUAUAUUGAACCGCAUGGUUCAAUAGUGAAAGACGGUUUUGCUGUCACUUAUAGAUGGAUCCGCGCCGCAUUAGCUAGUUGGUAAGGUAACGGCUUACCAAGGCAACGAUGCAUAGCCGACCUGAGAGGGUGAUCGGCCACACAGGAAGUGAGACGCGGUACAGACGCCUACGGGAGGCAGCAGUAGGUAAUCGUCCGAAAUGGGCGAAAGCUUGACGGAGCAACGGCGCGUGAGUGAAGCAGGGCUGCGGCUCGUAAAACUCUGUUAUUAGUGAAGAACAAAUGUGUAAGUAACGAUGCAUGUGUUGACGGUACCUAAUCAGAAAGCCACGGCUACUUCCGU